Molecule: small nuclear RNA, 175 nt
Organism: Sander lucioperca (pikeperch)
Lineage: Eukaryota; Metazoa; Chordata; Actinopteri; Perciformes; Percidae
Gene: U2
Rfam family: U2 spliceosomal RNA
About the family: U2 is a small nuclear RNA (snRNA) component of the spliceosome (involved in pre-mRNA splicing). Complementary binding between U2 snRNA (in an area lying towards the 5' end but 3' to hairpin I) and the branchpoint sequence (BPS) of the intron results the bulging out of an unpaired adenosine, on the BPS, which initiates a nucleophilic attack at the intronic 5' splice site, thus starting the first of two transesterification reactions that mediate splicing.
Source: Ensembl
AUUGCUUCUCGGCCUUUUGGCUAAGAUCAAGUCUAUCUGUUCUUAUCAGUUUAAUAUCUGAUAAAAAAAUAAAAAUAAAAAAAAAUCUUGAACCUAUAUAACCCAUAUGGCUCUUUGUAGCUUUGCUUAUUUAAAGCUAAUGUAUUUGCUCUUACUACUUACUUACUUACUUACU